ACGUGAGGGGCAAACGUUGUUCGGUGUCACUGGGCUUAAAGGGCGCGUAGGUGGCUGCGUAAGUAAGGUGUGAAAUCCCCCGGCUUACCCGGGGAACUGCGCCUUAUACUGCGUGGCUUGAGGAUCACAGGGGAAGGGGGAACUCCAGGUGUAGCGGUGAAAUGCGCAGAUAUCUGGGGGAAGGCCGGCGGCGAAGGCGCCCUUCUGGGUGAUUCCUGACACUGAGGCGCGAAAGCGUGGGGAGCAAACAG
This 251-nucleotide ribosomal RNA is filed under the name uncultured prokaryote. RNAcentral describes it as "partial 16S rRNA". It matches the Rfam family "Bacterial small subunit ribosomal RNA", at positions 525 to 775 of the family's 1533-position model. The record is from RNAcentral.